RNAcentral lists this ribosomal RNA (420 nucleotides) under uncultured archaeon. RNAcentral's name for it is "partial 16S ribosomal RNA". It matches the Rfam family "Archaeal small subunit ribosomal RNA", at positions 323 to 746 of the family's 1478-position model. The record is from RNAcentral.
CCACGGGGGGCUCCAGUUAGGUAUAAUCUACAAUGCACGAAAGUGUGAUAGUUUGAAUCAGAGUGCUUUGCUUUGCAAAGCUUUUGUGAAAUGUAAAAAGUUUCACGAAUAAGGACUGGGUAAGACUAGUGCCAGCCGCCGCGGUAAUACUAGCGGUCCAAGUCGCAGCCAUUUUUAUUGGGUCUAAAACAUCCGUAGCUUGCUUUGUAAGUUCCUUGUGAAAUCCUAUAUCUCAAAUAUAGGGCGGGCAAGGAGUACUGCUAAGCUAGAGACUGGGAGACGUAACGAGUACGUUUGAGGUAGCGGUAAAAUGUGUUAAUCUCAGACGGACUAACAAUAGCGAAGGCACGUUACGAGAACAGUUCUGACAGUAAGGGAUGAAGGCCAGGGGCGCAAAACGGAUUAGAUACCCCAGUAGUC